RNAcentral lists this ribosomal RNA (253 nucleotides) under uncultured bacterium. Its description in RNAcentral is "partial 16S ribosomal RNA". It matches the Rfam family "Bacterial small subunit ribosomal RNA", at positions 524 to 776 of the family's 1533-position model. The record is from RNAcentral.
UACAGAGGUCUCAAGCGUUGUUCGGAUUCAUUGGGCGUAAAGGGUGCGUAGGCGGUGCUCUAAGUCGGAUGUGAAAACUCUGGGCUCAACCCAGAGCCUGCAUCCGAAACUGGAGUGCUAGAGUUCUGGAGGGGGUAGCGGAAUUCCUGGUGUAGCGGUGAAAUGCGUAGAUAUCAGGAGGAACACCGGUGGCGAAGGCGGCUACCUGGACAGAAACUGACGCUGAGGCGCGAAAGCUAGGGGAGCAAACAGG